Non-coding RNA from Candidatus Atribacteria bacterium, 178 nucleotides. Lineage: Bacteria; Pseudomonadati; Atribacterota; Atribacteria. The record is from Rfam.
AUGCAAGGUAGAGGCGCGGAUAAUAAUAAGUAAAGAUGAAGAAUUAAAAUUCAUCUUGAAAGGUAUUUCCGCCGAAGCGAAAAGAUGGCAUAAAAUCUUUUCUGCUGGGCUUAUAGCGAAUAACUAUAAGACUGUCAUCAAAUCUUUUCUCGGAUUUGGAUGGAGCGCUGCCCUAAGA